RNAcentral lists this ribosomal RNA (521 nucleotides) under uncultured bacterium. RNAcentral's name for it is "partial 16S ribosomal RNA". It matches the Rfam family "Bacterial small subunit ribosomal RNA", at positions 28 to 523 of the family's 1533-position model. The record is from RNAcentral.
GACGAACGCUGGCGGCGUGCCUAAUACAUGCAAGUCGAGCGGGCCUCCGGAGGUGCUUGCACCUCCGGAAGGCCAGCGGCGGACGGGUGAGUAACACGUGGGCAACCUGCCUUUGAGGCCGGGAUAACACCGGGAAACCGGUGCUAAUACCGGAUACGUCCUCUUUCGCGCCUGCGAGAGGGGAGAAAGACGGUCUUUAAGGCCGUCGCUCAAAGAGGGGCCCGCGGCGCAGUAGCUGGUUGGUGGGGUAAGGGCCUACCAAGGCGACGAUGCGUUGCCGACCUGAGAGGGUGAUCGGCCACACUGGGACUGAGACACGGCCCAGACUCCUGCGGGAGGCAGCAGUAGGGAAUCAUCCGCAAUGGGCGAAAGCCUGACGGUGCAACGCCGCGUGAGUGAGGAAGGUUUUCGGAUCGUAAAGCUCUGUUGUGAGGGAAGAACAGCUUCCGGAGGAAAUGCCGGAGGUUUGCCGGUACCUCACCAGAAAGCCCCGGCUAACUGCGUGCCAGCAGCCGCCGUAA